UCACUCUCACUCUCCGCCUCCUCUUUUUUAUCUCUCUCGCUGCCGUUGCUUCUAAGAUCCCUAAAGACUCCCCGUCGUUUGAUCCUUCCGCGUAAUCUCCACACCUGAUUCCGUCGAUUCCAAUCAAAUCUCGAGAUCUGCUGGUGGCACCUGGUUGUUGCGUUUGGUCUCUGCUUUCUUCUGGGGUGUUCAGAGAGGAAGGUUGACUAGCAUACUGUUAUGAAGGAAUCUAGUGUGCCCGGAUUCAUCCUCUUCUGUUCCAACUAAUCAGCCUACUUCUGGGUUAAACUACUUAAUAAGAAAA
Long non-coding RNA from Populus trichocarpa (black cottonwood), 304 nucleotides. RefSeq lists it as uncharacterized. Lineage: Eukaryota; Viridiplantae; Streptophyta; Magnoliopsida; Malpighiales; Salicaceae. The transcript is spliced from 3 exons. The record is from RefSeq and is a predicted model, not a curated record.